This 500-nucleotide ribosomal RNA is filed under the name uncultured bacterium. RNAcentral describes it as "partial 16S ribosomal RNA". It matches the Rfam family "Bacterial small subunit ribosomal RNA", at positions 30 to 523 of the family's 1533-position model. The record is from RNAcentral.
AUUGAACGCUGGCGGAAUGCUUUACACAUGCAAGUCGAACGGCAGCACGGACUUCGGUCUGGUGGCGAGUGGCGAACGGGUGAGUAAUGUAUCGGAACGUGCCCAGUCGUGGGGGAUAACAUAGUGAAAAUUACGCUAAUACCGCAUACGAUCUAUGGAUGAAAGCGGGGGAUCGCAAGACCUCGCGCGAUUGGAGCGGCCGAUAUCAGAUUAGGUAGUUGGUGGGGUAAAGGCCCACCAAGCCAACGAUCUGUAGCUGGUCUGAGAGGACGACCAGCCACGCUGGAACUGAGACACGGUCAGGACUCCUACGGGAGGCAGCAGUGGGGAAUUUUGGACAAUGGGCGAAAGCCUGAUCCAGCCAUUCCGCGUGCAGGAUGAAGGCCCUCGGGUUGUAAACUGCUUUUGUACAGAACGAAAAGGUUUCUACUAAUACUAGGAGCUCAUGACGGUACUGUAAGAAUAAGCACCGGCUAACUACGUGCCAGCCGCCGCCGUAA